GGGAAGGUGGCUCAGUGGUAGAGCACUUGCCUUGCAUGCAUGAGGCCGUGGGUUUGAUUCCUCAGUACCA
Molecule: transfer RNA, 70 nt
Filed under: Dipodomys ordii (Ord's kangaroo rat)
Lineage: Eukaryota; Metazoa; Chordata; Mammalia; Rodentia; Heteromyidae
Rfam family: tRNA
About the family: Transfer RNA (tRNA) molecules are approximately 80 nucleotides in length. Their secondary structure includes four short double-helical elements and three loops (D, anti-codon, and T loops).
Source: Rfam by way of RNAcentral